GAUGAACGCUGGCGGCGUGCCUAAUACAUGCAAGUCGAGCGAACAGACGAGGAGGUUGCUCCUCUGACGUUAGCGGCGGACGGGUGAGUAACACGUGGAUAACCUACCUAUAAGACUGGGAUAACUUCGGGAAACCGGAGCUAAUACCGGAUAAUAUAUUGAACCGCAUGGUUUAAUAGUGAAAGACGGUUUUGCUGUCACUUAUAGAUGGAUCCGCGCCGCAUUAGCUAGUUGGUAAGGUAACGGCUUACCAAGGCAACGAUGCGUAGCCGACCUGAGAGGGUGAUCGGCCACACUGGAACUGAGACACGGUCCAGACUCCUACGGGAGGCAGCAGUAGGGAAUCUUCCGCAAUGGGCGAAAGCCUGACGGAGCAACGCCGCGUGAGUGAUGAAGGUCUUCGGAUCGUAAAACUCUGUUAUUAGGGAAGAACAAAUGUGUAAGUAACUAUGCACGUCUUGACGGUACCUAAUCAGAAAGCCACGGCUAACUACGUG
This 497-nucleotide ribosomal RNA is filed under the name uncultured bacterium. RNAcentral's name for it is "partial 16S ribosomal RNA". It matches the Rfam family "Bacterial small subunit ribosomal RNA", at positions 28 to 507 of the family's 1533-position model. The record is from RNAcentral.